GCCCUGAGCCUCUCUGAGCACACUUUCUUGCCUUUCUGCCUUCUGCCAUGGGAUGAUGCAGCAGAAAGGGCCCUGCUGGAUGUGAGACCCUUGACCCUGAACUUCCCAGCCUCCAGAACAGUGUUACAAACGGACUUCCGUCAAAGGGAUACGUGGGUAUGAAUUGGAAGAAUCUGAGUGGAAAUGCAACACUGAUAUUUUGGAUCUCCAGAAUUUGCCUAUAAGAAGAGUCAUUUAUUCAGGAGGUCCUGAAUUUGCUUAUAAGAAGAGUCAUUCUCUGCAGAGAAUGCAAAAGAUGAGUCAAGGGAUGAUUCUGCAAUAUAAUUGGAGGAUGUAAAGCAAUUGCAAAAAUAAUUCUGUCUCAUGGAAUACUGAAUGUCUCUAGGAAAUACCAACCAAUAUUGGAGUUCUGAAAAAGUGAUAAUGAGCAGUAUACUGUAGGGAACUAGGAAAGACUACUUGACAAAGAUAGUAUUUGAGAUCAUAGAUAAGUGCUUUGGGCCAAAAGAAUUGUUACUUUCUCAGUUUAGUUGAAAGCAAAUAAUGAUACUGUGCUCAUUUUUAUAGACAACAAUAGCACACAUGUAUGUGGAUGAAAAUGAGCGAUACAGACUAAUUAUGAGUGAAAGAAAUCCUUGCAGAACUAACAAUCCAGUGUUGUCCAAAACAAACCAAUGGACAAAGUAUUUGAAAAUGCUAGUACCAUCCUAACAUCCCAAUUGUUUUGAGCAAAUUCUUAUUGAUAGAGAUCUCUGGGCCUGCUUAUCAACCAGUGAGUAACUCCAAUAGUCAAUAAACAAAUGCUGCCUCCCUCAUUAGGGAUGGAUAUAGAUGGAAAUAGAAUUUCAGAAGAGUUGACAGACAAGCCAAAUAUUGUCAACUUUCAAAUUUGUCAUGUUGCCCCUAGUUCGAGCCUCACUGUCCAAAUCCCAGAGAAAGAGAUGGUGGGAUGUGAGGAAUGGAGAUAAUCUGUGUCUCUUUGGGAUGUUUUGGGGUCUACUUAAGGCCAGCAUGACAAACAUGUAUAGUGACAACCCUAAUCAAUUGUUCAUGGCUGUCUGAAAGGGUUGGUGAGGCUACAGUGAGCAAUAAAAAAUUGCCAUCAGUAAUUGGCCAUAAUUACCUUGAACAAGUGGCAACUUGUGAUAGGCAACAGUUUCUAUACAGUGGUAAAACAUGUCUUAUACUGUUCCAGAGGGUAUAUGAUUUAAUCAACAGUACAAUUGAAGCUGUAUUGUAUUGGGGCACUUAAUAUUAGAAUUUUGCUAAAAUAUUUGAUUUCUAUUUAGACACACAGAUCUCUAAAAGAUAGUUUUCUGUCUUGAUUACAUGUUCUUCACUUCAUUCUGAAUCAGAUUGGAAAUAAUAAGUUGUGCUUUAUAUGCUUGGUAGCUCAUUCAUUCAUUCACAAAUUCAGCCAGUCAGCCACUGUCCUAGUUAUCUAUUGCUGGGUAACACAUGACUUCAAAAUUUGGUGGAUUGAAACAACAACAAUUAUGUCAUUAUCUCUUCCAGUUUCUGUGGGUCAGGAAUCUUGGAAGGACUCAGCUAGGUGGCUCAGCUCAGGUUCCCUUUGUGGUUUCAAGUCAUAUGGUGGCUGGGAGAGUGUGGGGCUGAAGCAGCUGGGGGCUGGAUGGGCAGCUUACUGUCUUCAUGUAGUUCCUGGGCCUCUGCACAUGGGUUAAUCUGGACUCCAAAGGUAAGAUGUACCACCUUUUAUGACCUAGCUUUUGAAGUUACGCAAUACACGUUGAGCAUCCCUAAUUUGAAAAUCUGAAAUCCAACAUGCUCCCAAGUCUGAAUUUUUUGACUGCUGACAUGAAGCCACAAGUGGAGAAUUUCACACUUGACCCCAUGUGACAGGCUGCAAGUCACAGUGCAGGAGCAUAACAAGCAGUUUAUUCUGUGCUUCCAAGGGAACAAAGACCCUUGGAGCCCUCCUCAGCUGUGAUGUACAUUUGUUGCACAUGUUCAGAUUCUCCCAUGCAAGCAACCAGACUGUCCACAUAGGUGGUUGCUAGUGACAUAUUUACCUUCUGAUGGCUCAGUGUAUACAAUCUUAGUUUCAUGCAAAAAAAUAUUUAAAAUAUGAUAUGAAAUACCUUCAGGCUAUGUAUAUAAACUGUAUAUAAACCAUAAAUGAAUUUUAUGUUUAGGCUUGUGUCCCAUCUCCAAGAUAUCUCAUUAUGUAUAUGAAAAUAUUCCACACUCCAAAAAAAACACUAAAAAUCCAAAACACUUCUGUCCCAAGAAUUUCAGAAUAGGGAUACUUAGCCUGUAUCACUUCUACUACACACUACUGAUUAUAAGCUAGUUAUAAGACUACCCACCCAGGUUGGAGAAGAAGGGAAGUAGUCUGCACCUCUUUAUGGGGAUGUGACUAGGGUUUUAGAAAACAUAUGGGAUAGGAGAUGAUGUUGCUAUCUUGGAAAAAUAUGAUCAGCUGAUUAGCCAGAGUCACAAACAUUUGUUGGGAGCCUUUUAUGUGCUAGGCUGCACAUACUCUGGGAAUACAGUGAAGAGGAGGGACAAUGUCCUUGCUCCUGAGUGGCAUAUAUUCUACUGAGGAUGAGUGAGGAGAUAAACAAGAGGUAAAUACACAGGAAAGACAAGAUUGAAUUGUGGUAAGUGCUAUGAAGAAUGUUAAACAAAACAGAAUAACUGGGGUUUGGAGAGCUUCUUUAGAUAAGGUGGUCAGGACAGGUCUCUCUCUCUCUCUUUUUUUUUUUUGCUUCAGUGUCUAUUUUAUUUAUUUAUUUAUUUAUUUAUUUAUUUAUUUAUUUAUUUAUUAUACUUUAAGUUCUGGGGUACAUGUGCAGAACAUGCAGGUUUGUUAUAUAGGUAUACAUGUGCUAUGUUGGUUUGCUGCACCCAUCAACUCGUCAUUUACAUUAGGUAUUUCUCCUAAUGCUAUCCCUCUUCAAGGCCCCCACCCCAUGAUGGCCCUGGUAUGUGAUGUUACCUUCCCUGUGUCCAUGUGUUCUCAUUGUUCAACUCCCACUUAUGAGAACACGUGGUGUUUGAUUUUGUUCAUGUGUUACUUUGCUGAGAAUGAUGGUUUCCAGUUUCAUCCAUGUCCCUGCAAAGGACAUGAACUCAUCCGUUUUUAUGGCUGCAUAGUAGUCCAUGGUGUAUAUGUGCAACAUUUUCUUUAUCUAGUCUAUCAUUGAUAGGCAUUUGGCUUGGUUCCAAGUCUUUGCUCUUGUGAACAGUGCUGCAAUAAACAUACAUGUGCAUGCGUCUUUAUAGAAUGAUUUAUAAUUCUUUGGGUAUAUACCUAGUAAUGGGAUUGCUGGGUCAAAUGGUAUUUCUAGUUCUAGAUCCCUGAGGAGUUGCCACACUGUCUUCCACAAUGAUUGAACUAAUUUACACUUCUACCAACAGUGUAAAAUUGUUCCUAUUUCUCCACAUCCUCUCCAGCAUCUGUUGUUUCCUGACUUUUUGAUGAUCGCCAUUCUAACUGGUGUGAGAUGGUAUCUCAUUGUGGUUUUGAUUUGCAUUUCUCUAAUGGAUAGGUCACUUUUAAUUAAAGAACUUAAUGAGAAGAAAACAGUCAGGGAAACAAGAGUUCCAGGUGGAUGGAAGAGCAAAAAUACAGCAUGUGAGCUCCAGUGCCCAGAAGCCUGUCUAACAAACACCUGGCAUUCACUUGAGCUCUGCUGAAUAGAGAAUGACUGAAUGAACACCAGACCUUAAGUUGCCACCUGCUCAUAUCCCACUGCAAGCUCUACAUGAACUCAAACUGUGGCAAAGACGCAAAGCCAGGAGAAAUUGUCUCGACAACCAAAACAAUCUGUAAACUUGGAUCAAGAGGACCCAUCAAUGACAAGAAUACACACGAAAAUCUUUUGGCCACUCUUGAAACAGAUCAUUCUAAUCAACAGGCAAUAACAGUGGGGACACCUGGGCCACAAUAAACCCUUUCACAACUGUGCCCUUUACCUUGGGCCCUCAUAGCCCCUCUGCUGGGAUUUGCAAGUCCUCUUCAACAAGGAGUUCCCAAACCAAGGGCCAAGACACAUCUGGAGACUGUCUCUUGGGUUUGACAGUUGUACUUUUAAGCAUUCCUGCCCUUCUGGUUUCUUGAUCCUUUGGCUCAUUUAUGAGAAGCACUGUGUAAUCAUCUGACCCUGAGCCAAGAACAGAGGCCUACAGAGGCCCUGGCUAAUGUGGGAACUAAGCUUUCAGCUUUGUGGGCUGAGUCUGCUGAGCUAAGCAGCUUCCUAGGACUGUCAGAGGAUUGGUGCUACUUAAGUGCAGUUGUUCUAUUACACUCUUUUCUAUGAGUUGGAUGAGCCUUUGCGGAUUAAACAGUUGUUUGCACUUCCCCAGUUCCACGCUGACUUUUAUAACAUAUCACCAAAAGGUGUUUCACAUUGAAUGGAGUGUUAUAAGGUUCCAUAUGGUGAGGUAUGGUUUCCUCCUGCCUGGAGUUCUGAAUCAUUCUGCAAUUUGUGUGAAUCUGCUUUGCUAUCAGGUUCUUGAAGAUGGGGCAAGGUACUGUCCCAACAUCAGAGGAAGGAUGUCCAUAUCCUUCUGGUUCCUGUGCUAUUCUUGAUCCUUACUGGCCUCCAAGUAGAAGGCCCUUGCUCCAAGGGUCCCUCACCAUCCCAUUCUGGCAUAUGGUGAGGUAUGCCUGGCCCUGCCAGAUCUUUGGGAUGUGGUGCUGGCUGUCACUGCUGAAGUCCAUGGCCCCUCUGCCACCUUCCUCUGAUACCACUAAACUCAGCAAAGAAGACUGGAGAUGUAUGUUACACAUGUGACUAUUGUAAUGAAUUCAGAUAUGCUUUUCUUCUGAUACAGAAAAUAUUUUAUAAUUAAAAGAAGAUGGUUCCUUAUAUAUGUGCCUUUUCAAUGGCCAUCAACAAUUCAUAGCUACAGAUUCUGCUAUGUCUGCAUAGCAACAGACUCAGUCUGCUUAUACCUUAUGAAUUAUAAAUUUACUCAUGGACGAGUGUGUGUUGUUCUCUCAAAGGUUUGAUUAUUUAGAUUCAUUAAGUGUUGUACUCGAAAGAAAUAAGACUGGUAACUGUAUUUUAAUAAAGUAUUUAAAUACCUAAACAUGUUAAUAUUUUAACAGAUAUAAGAGUGUAUUGUGCUGUAGGUACAGGUAUUUAUUAUUGUUGUUAUUGUUUUUAAAUAGAGUAGGACUUCGAAAGGAAACCACAAGGAACUUUAAGUCCUGCUUUUAAUCACCGUCACCUUAUUUUACAAAGAAAAAUAUAUUUCAUUCAUGUAAGUUGCUAUUCAUAUUUAGUUAUAUAUUUCUACAUUAUGAAGAAAGUAUUCACCCUGAGGCGGGGAAAACAGAAUCCCCAGUUAGCUCCUAUUGAAUGCCUCCAUCCUGGAAUACUGUACAACCGACACAUGCAUUGGAAUUAUUCAUGCUGCUUGUAUACCUUGGGAGAUGAACACCUUGAAGACAAACUCAGAAUUUCAACAAACCCCUCAGGGUCUAUUCAUGGAAGCCUGGUUGGGUCUCUUCUUUUGGAGAACUAAUAAAUUAGUCCACACAACUGAACUUGCUGAAGGUAAAUUUGGAGUUGGCCAACUUUUGCUGUAUAACAAGCAGUGUUUGUGUACAGUGUCUGUUAGGCAUUUUACUAUCCACUGGCUAAUAUGUUCAGGGCAGGAACAUCCCUUUCUACCCCAUGGCUCUCCCUUUUCUCUACAUGCAAGGAAGUAUGUAACUGGGCACAGUGCUGCUUUGAUCUGGUUUUCAUUAUGUGAUAAUUGUGGACUUUCUAAAUUGUAAAUGUCUGUGACUUUUUCCCCAGCAGUCAGACAAUCUAUGCUCUGGGAAAAUUAAAGGGAAAAAUCUCAGGUAACAAGAGGAGCAACAUGAAGCAAUACUUUGCUAUAAUCAUCCUCUUACUAGCUGAGGUCCAAAAUGCUGUAUUGAGUGAAAUAACAUGAUUAGAGUUAAAUAAAUAAUGACAGCUAAGAGAGAAAUCAGCUAGAAAGAAGUUAUUUCAGCCUAUUAAGAAAGGAGAUGAGAUGUUGCUCAAAGGAAAAAGGCCCGUAUAUGAAGAGUGUCAAAAUAAAGGAAUGAAAAAAGAAAUAAAUGAAGUCUGAAGAGCAUGCUAGAAAAGGCAGAUGGAUAAUUUUAAGCAAAAUGUGUUGCACAGUGGGAUUGGAGCUGAAUGGGAGGAGGUUUGAUUGUGUAAGCAGUUCCAGGUUUCUUGCUUUAUAACAGGGAUCUGCAACCUUUUUCUCUAAAGGGCUAGAUAGUAAAUAUUUUAGGUUUUGUAGGUCAGAAUAUCUCUCACUCUACUACUCAAUGCUGUCAUUGUAACAUGAAGGCAGGCAUAGACACCACCUAACAAAUGGGUGUCUCUAUGUUCCAAUAAAACUUUAUAAAAUCUGAUGGUAAGCUGGAUAUAGCCCACAGGCUGUAGUUCUGUAGUUCUGACUCCUGGUUUAGAUGAUCAAAGUGGUGGCAGUUCCUUUCUCCAUUGAAUGGGACUCAUAUUAGUUUGGUGCAAAAGUCAUUAAUUUUGCAAUUACCUUAAUUAAAGGUGCCAUUACCUUUAAGGGAAAAGACCACAAUGACUUUUGCACCAAAGUUUGGUGUUUGUGAGGAUUAAAUAACAAGUGUGAAAAGUCCUAACACAGUGCUUAGCACAAGGUCCACACUCAAAUGUUAUCUCACCCACCGUCUUUCAAGUCAGUGAUCAUACUCCACAGGGAAGCAUUCAUGGCUUCAGUUAAUCGUGCAUAUAAAUUGAAGACAGAAAAACAGGUAGAAAAGAAAGACAUGAUAAAUGAAAGGUCAUUAUUGAUUUUGGUUUGGUUUUUCAAUACAUACAACUCAGGACAAAUCAUUAAAAUGCAUCUUCUUGCAAACUGAAGAAACAGAGCAAAGUACAACUACAAAAACAAAUUAUCUCAGGUUGAUAUAAUUUUCAUUUUCAUGACAAUAGGCUCAUUUUCCUCAUCUUUCAUUGAGCUUGUUAAACUUUAAGAAAAUCCCUACUUUUAAGAAAUGAUUUUUUUUAACAGUAGAGGCAGAAAUAUACUGAUAUAGGUGAAUUGUACUUAACCAAAAUUGUAAAAUCGUCUAUUUAACAUUGUUAAUUUCAGUUAAAUGGCAUCUCAAUUUUGACUGGAAGUAGAAUCACUCUGGUUUUGGUUUUUCAUAGACUCUGAGUAGCACCACUGCAGGUUCUUUGAAGCAUUUCUAAAUGAGGUAAUUUUAUUUUACAAGGGGUUUCUUGUAAAAACUAUUGUCUUUCUGUACAUCUAAUUAAAAUAAAGAUGUAAUAAAGAAUUUACUGUUUUAAUUAGGGCAUAGAUCUUAAAGCAAUUAUCCUGUCAUUAAUAAUUCCUUAACAGACUUUCUUGCACAAGAUGAAUAAAAAGAUUUUUAAGCUGUGAAAAAUCAAUACACAUUACUCAUUUACAUUAACAAAGCUACACAAAGUAAUCUGAGCCUUCAUUAAAUUAUUUCUCCUGUAAACCAGAGAAGUUUGGAGAGUUAUUAGCUAUUUAUAACCUAGUGGAACUUCACUUACAAGAGAGAAAUCUUACCCAUGACUGGGCAGUUGUAUCAAUGUCAUUUAAAUGAACAGCCAAAUAGGAUUAAUAUAUUAGUGAGUGGAAAUAGAUUGAUAUGGUCCAUAAGGAUGACUAAAUGAUGAAAGCUAUCAUCAUGGUGUUAUAAUAUGAAUGAUUCAGCACUCCAUCUGAAAAUUACAUGUCUUAACAGUUUUUUUUCAGUGUUGUAAUUAAAGUCCCUCCCCUCCAUACCCCCACCAUCUGCCAUAUACACAUUUGGCUGUCUUUUAGGCAAUGUAGCAUCUAGGAGACACUAAGAUCACUGAGCUUAAAAUACAAUCAUGAAGGUAUCUCAAGUAGUAUUGCCAGACUUUGGUAUUUUCUAUAAUUUCAUCUAAUAUUAUAGGAUAAUCUGGGAAGGGCAAAACCAAACCAAACAAAAACUCAAAAUGAUUUUUUUUUGUUAGAAAAGGAAAGGCUAUGUUGUUAUGAGAAGCCAUUAAGAAGAAGAAAAAAUAUUUUGCAAUCUAAAUUUUAGUUACAUUGUCCCUAAUUGAUAAUUUGGAGGCAGAUGGAAACCCUUACAUGUGAAAGCAAAAGGUCCAAGACCACAUAUUGUCCAGUUUCCCUGCGGAAGAAUUGUCUAAGAAAUUAAAUGAAUCAAUCCGUAACUGCAACAGGGACUUUGGGUCCUUGUUCCUGUCUGUGUUGUUUCCUGAGCCCAUCAAGGUGACGGUUAAUGGGAAGAGGUAUUAACACAAGUUCUUGUUGGGUCAUUUGGUAAAGCCCUCAAUUAGCAUGGCCAGAUUUUAAUGAAUAUUAAGUAAUGAUGAUGAAAUUAAAAGCAUCCGGAAAGACAGCAGUAAUCAAACCGGUCUGUGAACGUAUGGCUGAAAAAGCUGUUCUGGGGUCCUUGUGAGAAAUUUGCUCCAGGACCCUUAUAAGAAUUUAGAGAGGAUUGCUCACCAAUUUUUCAUUAUAUAUAUAUGCCUGUUUCAAUAUAUAUAAAACAGGCUUAAUGGACCUCACAGUUCCACAUGGCUGGGAGGCCUCACAAUCAUGGCAGAAGGUAAAAGGCACUUCUUACAUGGCAGCAGGCAACACAGAAUGAGAGCCAAGUGAAAGAGGAAACCCUUAUAAAAUCAUCAGAUCUCAUGAGGCUUAUUCACUACCACAAGAACAUUAUAGGAGAAACCAUCCCCAUGAUUCAAUUAUCUCCCACUGUGUUCCUCCCACAAUAUGUGGGAAUUAUGGGAGCUACAGUUCUAAGACGAGAUUUGGGUGGGGACAUAGCCAAACCAUAUCUACCCUGGCCCCUCCCAAAUCUCAUGUCCUCACAUUUCAAAACCAUUCAUGUUGUCCCAACAGUACCCCAAAGUCUUAACUCAUUUCAGCAUUAACUCAAAGGUCCACAGUACAAAAUCUCAUCUGAGACAAGGCAAGUCCCUUCCACCUAUGAGCCUGUAAAAUCAAAAGCAAGUUAGUUACUUCUUAGAUACAAUGGGGGUACAGGCAUUGGGUAAAUACAGCCAUUCCAAAUAAGAGAAAUUGGCCAAAACAAAGGGGCUACAGGCCCGAUGCAAAUCUGAAAUCCAGUGGGGCAGUCAAAUCUUAAAGCUCCAAUUUGAUCUCCUUUGACUCCAGGUCUCACAUCCAGGUCACGCUCAUGCAAGAGGUGGACCCACAGCUUUGGGUAUCUCUGCCCUGUAGCUUUGCACGGUAUAGCCCUGCUCCUGGCUGCUUUCAUGGGCUGGCGUUGAGUGUCUGUGGCUUUUCCAGGUGCAAGGUGCAAGCUCUCAGUGGAUCUACCAUUCUGGGUUCUAGAGGAUGGUGGGUGGCCGUCUUCUCAUAGCUCCACUAGGCAGUACCUCAGUGUGGGGACUCUGUGUGGGGUUUCACACCCCAAAAUUCCCUUCUGCACUGCCCUAGCAGAGGCUGUUCAUGAGGGUCCUGCCCCUGCAGCACACCUCUGUCUGGACAUCCAGGCAUUUCCAUACAUCCUCUGAAAUCUAGGUGGAAGUUCCCAAACCCCAAUUCUUGACUUAUUUGCACCCACAGGCCCAACACCACAUGUAAGCCUCCAAGGCUCGGGGCUCGAACCCUCUGAAGCAAUGGCCUGAGGUCUACGUUGGUCUGUUGUAGCCACAGCUGGGAUGCAGAGCACCAAGUCCCAAGACUGCACAAAGUAGCAAGGCCCUGGGCCUGGCCAGGAAGCCAUUUUUUCCUCCUAGGCCUCUGGGUCUGUGAUGGGAGGGGCUGCCAUGAAGACCUCUGACAUGCCCUGGAGACAUUUUCCCCACUGUCUUGGUGAUUAACACUUGGCUCCUCAUUACUUAUGCAAAUUUCUCCAGCCAGCUUGAAUUUCUCCUCAGAAAAUGGGUUUUCCUUUUCUAUCUCAUGGUUAGGUUGCAAAUUUUCUGCACUUUUAUGCUCUGCUUGCUCUUUAAACCUAAGUUCCAAUUCCAAACCAUACCUUUGUGAAUGAAUAAAACUGAAUGCUUUUAAUAGUAGCCAAGUCACAUCUUGAAUGCAUUGCUGAUUAGGAAUUUCUUUCACCAGAUGUCCUAAAUCAUCUCUCUCAAGUUCAAAGUUCCACAGAUCUCUAGGGCAGGGGCAAAAUGCCACCACUCCUUUUGCUAAAACAUAACAAGAGUCACCUUUGCUCCAGUUCCCAACAAGUUUCUCAUCUCCAUCUGAGACCACCUCAACCUGGACUUUAUUGUCCAUAUCACUAUAAGCAUUUUGGUGAAAGGCAUUCAACAAAUCUCUAGGAAGUUCCAAAGUUUCCUACAUUUUCCUGUCUUCUUCUGAGCCCUCCAAACUGUUCCAACCUCUGCCUGUUAUCCAGUUCCAAAGUCGCGUCCACAUUUUCAGUUAUCUUUACAGGAGCACCACACUCCCAGUACCAACUUACUGUAUUAGUCUGUUUUAACACUGCUGAUAAAGACAUACCUCAGACUGGGUAAUUUAUAAAGAAAAAGAGGUUUAAUGGACUCAAAGUUCCACAUGGCUUUGGAGGCCUCACAAUCAUGGAGGAAGGUGAAAGGCAUGUCUUACAUGGUGGCAGGCAAGAGAGAAUGAGAGCCAAGUGAAAAGGGAAACCCCUUAUAAAAAUCAUCAGCUCUUGUGAGACUUAUUCACUACCAUGAGAAAAUUAUGGGAGAAACCGCCCCCCAUGAUUCAAUUGUCUCCAACUGGGUUCCUCCCACAACAUGUGGGAGUUAUGGGAGCUACCACUCAAGAUGAGAUUUGGGUGGGGACACAGCCAAACCAUACCACUCCACCCCUGCCCACUCCCAAAUCUCAUGUUUUCACAUUUCAAAACCAUUACAAUCAAUUAUUGUGAUGCAAUCUUGAAUCUAUAGCCAAAUUUCCCACUUCUCAAGAUUUAUUGGAAAAAAUUAUCCCUAGUGUCCCUCAGAACUGUUUGGUUUUCUUUUUUUAACAUUUAGACCUUUUUCAUCCAUCUCCAAUGAACAGCAUUGGAGUUGUUUAUCUAGUAGAGUAUGUAUAUAAUUUAUGACAAAGUUAAUUUCAAUGAUCCUCAAGUAAGCGUUUUUUCAGUACCCCCCAUGACUAUUAUAGUCAACUUUCUUGUUCUCAGAAACACAUGAAUUAAUAUUUCACAGAUGAAGCACAAAUAAUCAAUAAACUUAUGAAACUGCUUAGUAACAAUAUUUAUUAAAUUAGUCAACAUUAAAAAAAACCUCAGCUGACAUGGGUAUGGUGACAGAUAAUCUCUUUACCCAGUGAUGUGACUGUGAAUUACUUUCUGGAAAGCAAUUUGCCUAUAUGUUACAAGAGCCU
Molecule: long non-coding RNA, 11304 nt
Filed under: Homo sapiens (human)
Lineage: Eukaryota; Metazoa; Chordata; Mammalia; Primates; Hominidae
Description: non-protein coding lnc-KBTBD8-4:3
Source: RNAcentral